Molecule: non-coding RNA, 28 nt
Filed under: Rattus norvegicus (Norway rat)
Lineage: Eukaryota; Metazoa; Chordata; Mammalia; Rodentia; Muridae
Source: RNAcentral
UGUUGGACACAUUUGGUACUGUUAAGCU